CCCUUAGAUGUUCUGGGCUGCACGCGUGCUACACUGAUAUUGCCAAUAUGUCAUUCUUAUCCGAAAUGGAUUGGGUAAUCAAGUAAUGAAAUUUCAUGCUUGGAAUCGGUAAUUGCAAUUUCAUCGUGAACGAGGAAUUCCUAGUAAGCACUAGUCAUCAGCUAAUGUUGAUUAUGUCCCUGCCCUUUGUACACACCGCCCGUCGCUACUACUGAUUGGGUGUUCAAGUGAGAUGCUUAGACCCUUGUUGCAUGGUUCAUUAUUGUGCUCCGAAAGGAAAAAGUUUCAAGCUUGAGUGUCUAGAGGAAGUAAAAGUCGUAACA
RNAcentral lists this ribosomal RNA (323 nucleotides) under uncultured eukaryote. RNAcentral describes it as "partial 18S ribosomal RNA". It matches the Rfam family "Eukaryotic small subunit ribosomal RNA", at positions 1470 to 1796 of the family's 1831-position model. The record is from RNAcentral.